RNAcentral lists this ribosomal RNA (1254 nucleotides) under Triticum aestivum (bread wheat). RNAcentral's name for it is "partial small subunit ribosomal RNA". Lineage: Eukaryota; Viridiplantae; Streptophyta; Magnoliopsida; Poales; Poaceae. The record is from RNAcentral.
AUGGCGUCUUCAAUCAUCAACGACACGGUCCAGGACAAGACUCUUCUCCCCGGACAGAUCUUUGUGUUCAGCGGCUUCGCACCGCGGGCCAAUUCGCUUUGCCAGUUGGAGCAGAUCGACAGCUUCGCCCCUGGCCGCCAGAUCCAGUUCGGAAACUUGAACUACACGGUAGAUGUCCGUAGAGAUUUGAUCUUCGACGGAUUCGGGCCUGUGCUAGGAGCGCCAGACAGCCGCGACGAGCAUGGCCUAGACCUGCUGUCGGACAGUGCCCAGGACAUUCUCCCCGAGGCAGCCCCGGAUCUAAAUCCAGGGCAGGUUACGUUGCCUACGGACGGUGGGCUGGACCCCGCCCCGCAGGCCGCACACUUAUCGGCGGUGGAGCCGAACACAGGUCUCACCUCUUUGGAGGCCUGUAACCUUGGGCCCCCGGACUCAUAUCCGGUUGUUGGUCUUGGUCCGCUCACUCUCGAGCCAGUCGAGCCAGGCUGGGCUCCAGUAAUGGAGUUUACCGCUGCGGACAUCUUUCAGCACUCGCCCUUUGGCGACAUGCUAAACUCAUUGAAGUCUCUCUCUUUGUUAGGAGGCUCUGGGCCGAACUAUGUCCGGCCCAAGUGGGAAGCAGGCGACGAAGGAAUUCGGCGCCCACCCACCACCCACUUCAUUGCCAGGAUCGAGGAUUUUAUCCUGCAUAUUCACAUGGCUCGUGGGGAUGACCUCUACGCCAUCAAAUACCUUGCCCUCAAGUUGAAGGGACCAGCUCAACACUGGUUGAAAAGCCUCCUCGAAAACUCAAUUGGGAGUUGGGAGGAACUCGAAGACGCUUUCAGGGCCAAUUUUCAAGGGACUUAUGUCCGGCCUCCGGAUGCAGACGAUCUAAGUCAAAUAAUCCAACAACUUGGAGAGGCUGCCCGCAAGCUUUGGAACAAAUUCCUCACUAAGAAGAAUCAAAUUGUCAACUUUACGGACGCUGAAGCCUUAGCGGCUUUCAAACACAGCAUCCAUGACGAAUGGCUCGCCCGACACCUCGGCCAAGAAAAGCGAAGGACAAUGGCAGCCUUAACAAGCCUUAUGACCCGCUUUUGCGCGGGUGAGGAUAGCUGGUUGGCCCGUAAAGGCACCAGCGACCCCAGCACAUCCGAACUAAGGGAUAGCAACGGGAAGCCAUGGCGUAAUAAAAACAAACGCCAAAACAAGGAAGAGAGCCCGGACAACACGACGGUCAACGCCGGAUUCAGGGGCUCUCGACCUGAUUAG